CCCCUCUCAGGGUUGCACCUGGAGAGUUUCCAGAACUCCACCAGUCAGGGUUAGAGGAGGGAGAGUCAAGCACAGGAAUAUCUAUUCCAUUCCUAGCUUGGGCAGUGGCUAGCAAGUGGAAGGCAAUCUGCUACAAGU
Ornithorhynchus anatinus (platypus) is the source of this 138-nucleotide non-coding RNA. The record is from Rfam. NCBI's taxonomy places the organism in Eukaryota, Metazoa, Chordata, Mammalia, Monotremata, Ornithorhynchidae.